RNAcentral lists this ribosomal RNA (439 nucleotides) under uncultured bacterium. RNAcentral describes it as "partial 16S ribosomal RNA". It matches the Rfam family "Bacterial small subunit ribosomal RNA", at positions 339 to 795 of the family's 1533-position model. The record is from RNAcentral.
CUACGGGGCGCUCCAGUGAGGAAUAUUGCACAAUGGGGGGAACCCUGAUGCAGCAACGCCGCGUGGAGGAUGACGCAUUUCGGUGUGUAAACUCCUUUUAUAUGUCAAGAAAAUGACGGUAGCAUAUGAAUAAGCACCGGCUAACUCCGUGCCAGCAGCCGCGGUAAUACGGAGGGUGCAAGCGUUACUCGGAAUCACUGGGCGUAAAGGACGCGUAGGCGGGUUGGAAAGUCAGGUGUGAAAUCCUACAGCUUAACUGUAGAACUGCACUUGAAACUUCUAAUCUAGAGUAUGGGAGGGGGAGAUGGAAUUUGUGGUGUAGGGGUAAAAUCCGUAGAUAUCACUAGGAAUACCUAAAGCGAAGGCGAUCUCCUGGAACAUUACUGACGCUAAGGCGUGAAAGCGUGGGGAGCAAACAGGAUUAGGUACCCCGGUAGUC